UACGAAGGGGGCUAGCGUUGCUCGGAAUCACUGGGCGUAAAGCGCACGUAGGCGGAUUGCUAAGUCGGGGGUGAAAUCCUGGAGCUCAACUCCAGAACUGCCUUCGAUACUGGAAAGCUCGAGUCCGGGAGAGGUGAGUGGAACUGCGAGUGUAGAGGUGAAAUUCGUAGAUAUUCGCAAGAACACCAGUGGCGAAGGCGGCUCACUGGCCCGGUACUGACGCUGAGGUGCGAAAGCGUGGGGAGCAAACAGG
RNAcentral lists this ribosomal RNA (253 nucleotides) under uncultured bacterium. RNAcentral's name for it is "partial 16S ribosomal RNA". It matches the Rfam family "Bacterial small subunit ribosomal RNA", at positions 524 to 776 of the family's 1533-position model. The record is from RNAcentral.